Molecule: ribosomal RNA, 255 nt
Filed under: uncultured bacterium
Lineage: Bacteria
Description: partial 16S ribosomal RNA
Rfam family: Bacterial small subunit ribosomal RNA
Source: RNAcentral
UACGGAGGGGGCUAGCGUUGUUCGGAAUUACUGGGCGUAAAGCGCACGUAGGCGGCUUUGUAAGUCCGUUGUGAAAUCCCUCGGCUCAACCGAGGAACUGCGACGGAUACUGCUUGGCUUGAGUCCCGGAGAGGGUAGCGGAAUUCCCAGUGUAGCGGUGAAAUGCGUAGAGAUCCGGAAGAACACCGGUGGCGAAGGCGGCCUGCUGGGCAGUAUGGCUGACACUGAGGCGCGACAGCGUGGGGAGCAAACAGG